RNAcentral lists this ribosomal RNA (526 nucleotides) under uncultured bacterium. RNAcentral's name for it is "bacterial SSU rRNA". It matches the Rfam family "Bacterial small subunit ribosomal RNA", at positions 10 to 526 of the family's 1533-position model. The record is from RNAcentral.
AGUUUGAUCCUGGCUCAGAUUGAACGCUGGCGGCAUGCCUAACACAUGCAAGUCGAACGGCAGCGCGGGGAGCUUGCUCCCUGGCGGCGAGUGGCGGACGGGUGAGGAAUGCAUCGGAAUCUGCCCAGUCGUGGGGGAUAACCCGGGGAAACCCGGACUAAUACCGCAUACGACCUUCGGGUGAAAGCGGGGGACCCUUCGGGGCCUCGCGCGAUUGGAUGAGCCGAUGCCGGAUUAGCUUGUUGGCGGGGUAACGGCCCACCAAGGCGACGAUCCGUAGCUGGUCUGAGAGGACGAUCAGCCACACUGGGACUGAGACACGGCCCAGACUCCUACGGGAGGCAGCAGUGGGGAAUCUUGCGCAGUGGGCGAAAGCCUGACGCAGCGACGCCGCGUGAGGGAAGACGGCCUUCGGGUUGUAAACCUCUUUCAGGAGGGACGAAGCCACUCGGGUGAACAGCCCAGAGGGUGACGGUACCUCCAGAAGAAGCCCCGGCUAACUACGUGCCAGCAGCCGCGGUAAUAC